GAAGCAUGACGUUCAGAGAGGUGAAGCAAUCCUCUCGCCCCGGAGGUUGUUGUCGGAGAAGCCGAAUAUAUUGCUUACGUCAUGUCCCCCGCUCGGUGUCCCCACGGUUGUUGUGACAAGAGAAGGAAGCAAAGUGACACUCGCACCUACCCUCGAGUCGCCUCAUAUUUCUUGUCGUGGUCACCUGCUGCGUGGAAGCUGAGCGUGCGCGCGUCGAGGUCUGAGGUCAACAUCGUCAUUGAUACUGAUACCCGAGGUCUAACUCCUAGAGAGACGACGCUCUUCCCCAUCGUGCACAGCAUCUACCUUCAAACAUCUAGAAAGUUUCUGUUAACAACUAAGACAUGACAACGCCCGGGAGGACUUGACCUCGACAGCAGGUCUUGAUGGGGACAGCUUGAUUCAUGCACCAGACAAUGGUUUAUAAAGAAGCCUGUCUACAUUACACAGCCGAGGUCUAGUAUCACAAACUAUCUGCCCAGACGAGUGCAUCAUCUUCACUCAUUGUGUUUCUAACCCCACCAAGCAUCUACGAUGACAGUUCGCGUGUCUUGGUCACACAGCUAUACCUGCAGCCCUGCCUGAUGAAAACUGUUCUUCCAGCCCUGCCUGGAUCACGAAACUGAACUACAAACUGUUCCUAUCAAAGGACAGGUUCUGUGCAGCUGAAUGUACCCAAUCAAUAAGCACUGUGCCAGGGACAAAGUUAUCCAAGGUUUCUCAAACAAACAACACACCAUUUCCUGUGUUACUGCCCAGUGACCGAAGCAGUGUAAAGUAUAAAACUUUCCAUUUGUUUUCUUACUCCAAACAUGAAGACUUUCUAUAACUGUUGUCUUCUUUUGUGUGCAUUUUUUGCUCACUUGCUUAUUAACUGUGGUCAUGCUGAAGAGGACAACCCUUUGAGCAUUAGCGCUCCGGUGGUGGCUGUUGAAAUAGGAGAAAGUCUGUCAAUUACUUGUGUAGACAAUGAUACUUAUGUUGUGGAGUGGUAUGCUGUAGAAAGCCCUGCUUGUCCGAUUCCCCAAAAUCAGUCACUAAGAGUGAGGUCUGAAAACAACACUUUAAUAAUCAGUGAUGUCCACUUCAAUGAUUCUGGCGACUAUGAAUGUCGCAUGGUCAACAGCACUUACAAUGUUACAGUUACCGUCAAAGCAUAUGUGAUGCCAACGUACUUAACGGAAGGGAUAAUUGUUGUGGGCACAGGUGGUGGAGUCCUUGUCCUCUUCCUAUUGUGUCUUUUAAUAUCUUUUGUCUUAAACAGGAGAUCAAGCAAAAAGUAAGGCAUUCAUCACUUCACCCUGCUUUCAUUUUUACAUUUAUAACCACCCUUGUGCCUACACAGACUGUGAUCUGUAAAUGCUUUGUUAUAUAUAUAUCUACUGCCAUUUGCAAUAGUUGUAGAACUUAAAAUCAGAAAAAUUAUCCUUAGCUUCACCCAUAUUAUAAACUGCAUUAUAUCCUCACAUCCUUGAGAUUAUCUCACACUGAGCCUGGAUCACGAACAUACUUCACCCCACAGUGUUAUAAAUAGCCUGGGUUCAGUGCGCUUAUUCUAAUUCAUUCACAUGUACAUGGCCUAAACUCUAUAGUUGUAUCUUCAACAAGUAGAACAUGUGUCAUACAGACUAUUAUAUCUUUUACACAAACUGUAGCCUGUUGUGUUUACUCACUCUAUUCUGCAACAAUUAGACCACAAUGUUGUCUAGUACUUUGUGACAUGCAAAGUAUCACAUCAUGGACUAUGUAUUUCAAUACUGGAGUACCCUGAGUACACUGGUUCAUUUCUAGGCUUGGCCCAAAAGUACUUGGAAAAUGGUCUCAGGAUUGCCAAACUACUACCUUUGGUUAUUGCUUGUGGGUUGCCUGCUUAAAAUGUUUGUGAAUAAACCAUCAAGAAUCGAGCAUGCGUUGUGAUUAAAUAUGCCGCUUCGCAUUUCUACUAAAACAUUUCUGUGUGUUAUUCCUGCCCCCCUCCCCACACCAUCACACCUUAAAAAAAUAACAGCUUCAGCAUUAUAUCCCGUGGCCCUCAUUUGAUUUUCAUUUCCUUGAUUUUACAUUAUCUGUAAAGUGAAAACUGCUGUCUUGUUGCAUGUGUUAUAUAUUGUAUUCAUACAUAUAUAUGUUAAUUAUUUUUAAACCUCUUCUGUCAUCAUCAAAUGAUAAAGAAUACAGAAAGAAAUAAAAUGACAAUUCUCUGAAAGACAUCGGUAAAAAUGAACUGUUUUACUAUAUUUCAAAUAAACUGCCUUUUCCGAAAGAUUGUCAAUGGUGUUUCCAUGGUAAUUUUUAGACAAAAGUUAUUCAUGCUGCAGUGAAGAGAUACCCAUGGAAGUGCUGCGUGAUUUGUUAGUUUAUUUUGUUGUUCCAGGAGGGAAGGGAGGGAGUGGAGAAGUGGGAGACACAGUAUCCUUUUACCCAAGCCCAAAAUUCAAUGAUUUACAUCCCAGUAUAAUCAGAAGCAAUGAAAAUUACCCUGGUAGUUGAACCUCAAUUUGCAAAACAAUUUUUCAACAAUCUUUAUCAAUGGGAGGAGGGGGAGAAAAGAAAAAACCAGAUUCUUAUUUCAAGAAAUGACAUAUGCCUCUAGAGAAAUGACGGUGAGUAUUAUCUCUGCAGAAAAAUGUGAUAAGGACAUAGUAAAGCUAAAUGAACAUCUUUGCAAACAAGCUUUUCUGUUGCAGGAAUAAGCCUUGCUGAGGAGAUUAAGGCGGCAUUCCAUCCUCUUAACAUCUCAAACACACACACAAACAUGGGAACAAUUUGCCCACCUUUGCCAGACAAUUUGUGGAACGGAAUCAUAUCACAGCCAACAAGAGUGCUCUAAUAAGCCAUUUAAGUCUAAAUAAAGGUUUUAAGAGAG
Molecule: long non-coding RNA, 2866 nt
Organism: Pomacea canaliculata
Lineage: Eukaryota; Metazoa; Mollusca; Gastropoda; Architaenioglossa; Ampullariidae
Exons: 2
Source: RefSeq, a predicted model, not a curated record